This 253-nucleotide ribosomal RNA is filed under the name uncultured bacterium. Its description in RNAcentral is "partial 16S ribosomal RNA". It matches the Rfam family "Bacterial small subunit ribosomal RNA", at positions 524 to 776 of the family's 1533-position model. The record is from RNAcentral.
UACGUAGGGUGCAAGCGUUAAUCGGAAUUACUGGGCGUAAAGCGUGCGCAGGCGGUGAAGUAAGUCAGUUGUGAAAUCCCCGGGCUCAACCUGGGAACUGCAUCUGUGACUGCAUUGCUGGAGUGCGGCAGAGGGGGAUGGAAUUCCGCGUGUAGCAGUGAAAUGCGUAGAUAUGCGGAGGAACACCGAUGGCGAAGGCAAUCCCCUGGGCCUGCACUGACGCUGAGGAACGAAAGCGUGGGGAGCGAACAGG